AGGUAAUGUGGGCUGAGAUCAUCAAAGCACUUGGUUCUUGAUUUGGUUUUACUUUCAGAUUCGAUCUUACACUUCGAGCUGGCAUUGUCUGUACAGGUUUGGCAGAUCCUUUGUGCAGGUUCGGUGGGUCCGGGAUGGAAGAAAACACCACCAAACAUUCUUUGUUGGCAAUAAAAAAGAGAGAACAUCACGUAAAAUUAGCUGCCCAUUUGAUCUGUAAGAAAAGAACAUUUAGCGAAAAGUUGUGUAAGAAUACUAACCUGUGAUCAAACUGAUUGAUGAUUGUUUACUUGUAUGGUGCCUGUGGUCAAA
RNAcentral lists this long non-coding RNA (312 nucleotides) under Musa acuminata (dwarf banana). RNAcentral describes it as "long non-coding RNA (MACU_LNC006061)". The record is from RNAcentral. Lineage: Eukaryota; Viridiplantae; Streptophyta; Magnoliopsida; Zingiberales; Musaceae.